GACGAACGCUGGCGACGUGCUUAACACAUGCAAGUCGAACGGAAAGGCCCUGCUUUUGUGGGGUGCUCGAGUGGCGAACGGGUGAGUAACACGUGAGUAACCUGCCCUUGACUUUGGGAUAACUUCAGGAAACUGGGGCUAAUACCGGAUAGGAGCUCCUGCUGCAUGGUGGGGGUUGGAAAGUUUCGGCGGUUGGGGAUGGACUCGCGGCUUAUCAGCUUGUUGGUGGGGUAGUGGCUUACCAAGGCUUUGACGGGUAGCCGGCCUGAGAGGGUGACCGGCCACAUUGGGACUGAGAUACGGCCCAGACUCCUUCGGGAGGCAGCAGUGGGGAAUAUUGCACAAUGGGCGGAAGCCUGAUGCAGCAACGCCGCGUGCGGGAUGACGGCCUUCGGGUUGUAAACCGCUUUCGCCUGUGACGAAGCGUGAGUGACGGUAAUGGGUAAAGAAGCACCGGCUAACUACGUG
Molecule: ribosomal RNA, 468 nt
Filed under: uncultured bacterium
Lineage: Bacteria
Description: partial 16S ribosomal RNA
Rfam family: Bacterial small subunit ribosomal RNA
Source: RNAcentral